This 397-nucleotide ribosomal RNA is filed under the name Micrococcus sp. oral taxon F54. Its description in RNAcentral is "bacterial SSU rRNA". It matches the Rfam family "Bacterial small subunit ribosomal RNA", at positions 28 to 425 of the family's 1533-position model. Lineage: Bacteria; Bacillati; Actinomycetota; Actinomycetes; Micrococcales; Micrococcaceae. The record is from RNAcentral.
GAUGAACGCUGGCGGCGUGCUUAACACAUGCAAGUCGAACGAUGAAGCCCAGCUUGCUGGGUGGAUUAGUGGCGAACGGGUGAGUAACACGUGAGUAACCUGCCCUUGACUCUGGGAUAAGCCCGGGAAACUGGGUCUAAUACCGGAUAGGAGCGCCUGUCGCAUGACGGGUGUUGGAAAGAUUUUUCGGUCAUGGAUGGACUCGCGGCCUAUCAGCUUGUUGGUGAGGUAAUGGCUCACCAAGGCGACGACGGGUAGCCGGCCUGAGAGGGUGACCGGCCACACUGGGACUGAGACACGGCCCAGACUCCUACGGGAGGCAGCAGUGGGGAAUAUUGCACAAUGGGCGGAAGCCUGAUUCAGCGACGCCGCGUGAGGGAUGACGGCCUUCGGGUUG